AGCAGCCGCGGUAAUUCCAGCUCCAAUAGCGUAUAUUAAAGUUGUUGCAGUUAAAAAGCUCGUAGUUGGAUUUCUGGCUGGAGCGACCGGUCCGCCUCGCAAGGGGUGUGCACUAUGGUUGUCUCCGGCCAUCCUUGGGGAGAACGGCGCUGGCAUUCAGUUGUCGGCGUCGGGAACCCCAUCGUUUACUGUGAAAAAAUUAGAGUGUUUAAAGCAGGCUUACGCCUUUGAAUACAUUAGCAUGGAAUAAUAAGAUAGGACCUUGGUGGUCUAUUUUGUUGGUUUGCACACCAAGGUAAUGAUUAAUAGGGAUAGUUGGGGGUAUUCAUAUUUAAUUGUCAGAGGUGAAAUUCUUGGAUUUCUGAAAGAUGAACUACUGCGAAAGCAUUUACCAAGGAUGUUUUCAUUAAUCAAGAACGAAAGUUAGGGGAUCGAAGACGAUCAGAUACCGUCGUAGUCUUAACCAUAAACUAUGCCGACUAGGGAUCGGAUGAUGUUAAUUUUAUAAUGACUCA
This 515-nucleotide ribosomal RNA is filed under the name uncultured stramenopile. Its description in RNAcentral is "bacterial SSU rRNA". It matches the Rfam family "Eukaryotic small subunit ribosomal RNA", at positions 569 to 1078 of the family's 1831-position model. The record is from RNAcentral.